RNAcentral lists this ribosomal RNA (449 nucleotides) under uncultured bacterium. RNAcentral describes it as "partial 16S ribosomal RNA". It matches the Rfam family "Bacterial small subunit ribosomal RNA", at positions 330 to 793 of the family's 1533-position model. The record is from RNAcentral.
UCCAGACUCCUACGGGAGGCAGCAGUGGGGAAUAUUGCACAAUGGGGGAAACCCUGAUGCAGCGACGCCGCGUGAGCGAAGAAGUAUUUCGGUAUGUAAAGCUCUAUCAGCAGGGAAGAAAAAAAUGACGGUACCUGAGUAAGAAGCACCGGCUAAAUACGUGCCAGCAGCCGCGGUAAUACGUAUGGUGCAAGCGUUAUCCGGAUUUACUGGGUGUAAAGGGAGCGUAGGCGGCGCGUUAAGUCUGAUGUGAAAACCCGAGGCUCAACCACGGGAGUGCAUUGGAAACUGGCGGGCUGGAGUGCCGGAGAGGUAAGCGGAAUUCCUAGUGUAGCGGUGAAAUGCGUAGAUAUUAGGAGGAACACCAGUGGCGAAGGCGGCUUACUGGACGGCAACUGACGCUGAGGCUCGAAAGCGUGGGGAGCAAACAGGAUUAGAUACCCUCGUAC